CAUUAUCUUUGCAUUUAAGUGAGCGAUUAUAAUCUAUUAUCUGGUUAUAUUACUCUUCUAGGACAAACUCUAGCGAUGGCUCAAGGCAGGAGAAAUAUGGAAUGACUAACAAACCCCGAGGAGAGCCUGAGGAUGCGCAACGAUCGAACAAAAGUGAAAGAGGUGUCUUCCGAAGUAUCAAAGUAUAUCCACUGGAACCAAAUGACAAGAGACUUAAUUAUGGACCACCUACAGAUUUACUUAGCAAGCUGUCCCUGGUUUCUGAAGUGAAAAAACCUACAAAACUACCAUCUAAGGCGCAGCCAAUUUCCUAGGUUCAACUAUCUCAGCACUCAUAUAACAACUUAAGAUUCUUUUGAGUGGGUAAAGGUUUAUUGAAAGAGAUUCAGAAAAAUAUUUUCUUUGAAUGCUAUUUUAAAGCUUACAUUAGACUAUAAUUAUAUUUUCAUGUGUUUAUUUAUAUUUUAUUUAUUAUUUUAUU
Non-coding RNA from Arachis ipaensis, 481 nucleotides. Lineage: Eukaryota; Viridiplantae; Streptophyta; Magnoliopsida; Fabales; Fabaceae. The record is from RefSeq and is a predicted model, not a curated record.